This 392-nucleotide ribosomal RNA is filed under the name uncultured bacterium. RNAcentral's name for it is "partial 16S ribosomal RNA". It matches the Rfam family "Bacterial small subunit ribosomal RNA", at positions 523 to 918 of the family's 1533-position model. The record is from RNAcentral.
AUACGGAGGAUCCGAGCGUUAUCCGGAUUUAUUGGGUUUAAAGGGUGCGCAGGCGGCCAUUUAAGUCAGCGGUUAAAUCGUGGGGCUCAACCCCAUUCUGCCGUUGAUACUGGGUGGCUUGAUUGCGGUCGAGGUUGGCGGAAUUCGUUGUGUAGCGGUGAAAUGCAUAGAUAUGACGAAGAACACCGAUUGCGUAGGCAGCUGACCAGACCGCAAAUGACGCUCAUGCACGAAAGUGCGGGGAUCGAACAGGAUUAGAUACCCUGGUAGUCCGCACAGUAAACGAUGAAUACUUGUUUUCGGCGAUAUAAUGUCGGAGGCAAAGCGAAAGCGAUAAGUAUUCCACCUGGGGAGUACGCCGGCAACGGUGAAACUCAAAGGAAUCGGCGGGG